This 657-nucleotide ribosomal RNA is filed under the name uncultured bacterium. RNAcentral's name for it is "bacterial SSU rRNA". It matches the Rfam family "Bacterial small subunit ribosomal RNA", at positions 188 to 848 of the family's 1533-position model. The record is from RNAcentral.
GCAUGGCUCUAGAUUUAAAAUUCCGGUGGUACGGGACGGGCACGCGCGACAUUAGGUAGUUGGCGGGGUAAGGGCCCACCAAGCCGACGAUGUCUAGGGGUUCUGAGAGGAAGGUCCCCCACACUGGAACUGAGACACGGUCCAGACUCCUACGGGAGGCAGCAGUGAGGAAUAUUGGUCAAUGGGCGAGAGCCUGAACCAGCCAAGUCGCGUGAGGGACGAAUGGUCUAUGGCCUGUAAACCUCUUUUGUCAAGGAAGAAUAAAUCGCACGGGUGCGAUCUUGCCAGUACUUGACGAAUAAGCAUCGGCUAACUCCGUGCCAGCAGCCGCGGUAAUACGGGGGAUGCGAGCGUUAUCCGGAUUUAUUGGGUUUAAAGGGCGCGUAGGCGGGACGUCAAGUCAGCGGUAAAAGACUGCAGCUAAACUGUAGCACGCCGUUGAAACUGGCGCCCUCGAGACGAGACGAGGGAGGCGGAACAAGUGAAGUAGCGGUGAAAUGCAUAGAUAUCACUUGGAACCCCGAUAGCGAAGGCAGCUUCCCAGGCUCGAUCUGACGCUGAUGCGCGAGAGCGUGGGUAGCGAACAGGAUUAGAUACCCUGGUAGUCCACGCCGUAAACGAUGCUCACUGGAUCUUGGCGAUACACAGCCAGGGUCA